This 3019-nucleotide long non-coding RNA is filed under the name Pongo abelii (Sumatran orangutan). RNAcentral describes it as "lincRNA". Lineage: Eukaryota; Metazoa; Chordata; Mammalia; Primates; Hominidae. The record is from RNAcentral.
GGUGAUUUCAGAUGCCUGCAGGUGAUCAGAUAUCUAAGUAACCCUCUUGCCACCAAAUAACCACACACACUUCAGUUACUCUUUCAAAAAAAUUAUCAAGCAACUGCUCUAUGCCAGAGACUCUUCUAGUCCUGAAGAUAUAGUGAUAAAUAAGAUAGAGACAGUUCCUGCUGCCAUUCAUUCAGCUUGGUUCUAGUGAGAAAGACAGAUAUAUUAAAAAAUAACUUGACAUUACAUUUUCAAGAAUUUAAGUACUUUAUUGGAAAAUAUAACUGUGUAAGAAGACACUUAUUGACAAGGACACCUUUAGUUCUUGUAGCGAGGAAGUAUAGACUUAACUCUUAUUAGUAAAAGAGUGUUUAAGAAUAAAAAUAUAUCAAUACCCCUAACUUUGGAGACAAACUGAAGUACUGAAUGUACUUCUAUUUUUGAUUUUUCCCUUAGCAUGGUGAGUUGUUUGGGAAAUGAUUCAAUAGUUAUUUGUAGUUUCUAAAUUCUCAGCAGCAGUUGCCUCCUGAUAUGUGUCACUAUAUAUUCUGAGUUGACAUCUGUUAUCUGAAUCACCAAAAUAGUGCCUUGUUUUAAAAUUUAUCCACUAUUGGCUUAUGUUUUAUCUUACUCUAGGCCAUGUUAUCACUACAUGUGACAUCUCUGUAUAUGUGUUUGUGAAACUGGGAUAAAGUUGGCAAAACUUGAGAUAGAGGAAACUAUCUAUGAAACAUGUUUUGCAUUAGUAGAACAGGAGGCAUAAGCACAUUUGGAAUAGAAAGAACAGAGAAGGCGAUAUUGGAGAAAUAGGAUCUCACAAAGGAAAGUAGAAUGCAAGUAGAGAACUUAAAUGCAAUUUAGGCAACAACCUAUGCAAUUUGGACAACUAUAGACCUACUAUGGCUUAUGGUUUCUACCAACUAGACUUAAGCUCCUUUUGGAAUAAAGCCUUUGCCUCAUGGAGGAAGUCAGUUAAUGUUUAUUGAUUGUGAUUUUGAUGAUGACAUUCAUGAUGAUGUUCUAUUUGGGGAAUGUUUUUCAAAGUGGGGCUUUGACCUGACAAACUGUUAUACCGAUAGAAAAAUCAACAUUCUCUCACUGACUCCUUAGGUAUUUGAUGGAUAUAUGAAAGAAAAAUAAUUUGAUAUGACCAAGCAAUAGUGAAGUGUAGGAUAUUGAUCUCCAGAGACUUGUGAGACUAAAAAUUGUGCAAACGAAUAAAAAAAAAACAUAGUCUAGAUUAUCCCAAUGUUGAACAAUAUACUUAUGUUUACACAUAAUGUUGGAAAAGGCAUCAGUGCAAUUUCUGCAAUGCACUGAUGAUAAUGAUAAUGAAAUUUUAGUGACAAUGUGAUAAUGAAAUUUUAGAAGAAAUUAUAAUUAGUUUUUCAUCUCUCUUAAAUGGAUGUGUUGUUUUUUCUGUCCUCUUCCCUCUCCAUUUAUGCCUGUUCUGAUUCCUUGUUGACUUGGGGAAAUAUACAUGUGGAUAAUAAGCGUGAACAUUUCUGCAGAAACAAAGCAGGUCUACUAUGCUUCAGCAGGCUUAACUCAUUUGUUUAAUGAGGGUUUGGGAAGAUGGUGGGGUUUCCUACAUAUAGUCAAUGCAUACUUAAGAACACCUACUAUGUGCUGGCUUCAUUUUAGUCUCUAGGAACUGGGAGACAUAUUGAGCCAUUUGUAUCUACAUAUAUUAAAAUUGUUGUACCGAAGAGUAUUUCAAGGUCUUCUAUCUAUCUGUUUUCUUUUGGAUGGAAGCAGUCAGUGCAAACCAGCAUGGUGAAUGAGCUUGACUGUAUUUAGGAGAAAAAAUUCUCACUUCUGGGGUUUUUGCUACAGAUUUUAAGAAUGGGGAGCUGUUUUCAGAACUAAAAGUUUGCCAGCGCACUAAUAAGAUGUAAAAUGAAGAAAAAUUAAAAGAUAGCUCUAUCGUUUCAAAGAAUGUGGAGCUACUUUGGCUUCAUCGGCAGAGUAAGUCUGUUAAUAACCCCGAAGCACUCCCCUUGUUGAAAUAACACAAAUUAGCGUUUAACCUGGGAGGAAGAACACGUGAAGUUAUUUAACAUUUACAUAAAAUUAUGGAGUAAACUCCAAACAGGUCGCCUCCAAAAUGUAUAAUUACACUCAGCAGUCCUGUCAGCAUACAUAGAAACAAUUUUAUUUCCAAUCAUCUUCUGCUUUUAUUCACUCAGGAAUGUAUCAUUAAAAUUUCCACAGAACAAUGAACCUUAAUAGGCGCUAAUGCAAUUGUGAAUUAUGGUAAUUGUUACCUAAAUUAAUCUCUGUACUUUCCAUUCCUUAUUGCCCUGUGCAUAAGGAGUGUGAAAAAGAUAAUGUUGAAACUGACAUUUGUAUAAAUGGUAGAAAAAUUUAUCUUAUUUAAUAAAAAUUUAAUAUAAGAACUUGCUACUUUGUAAAGUAGUUUACUUAGAAAAAAAUGUUAGAUUUGUUGCAAGUUGGGUUUAUACAAUCUUUAAUUUGUGAAAUUUGGGAGGGAAAAUGGCAGUUGACCCAUUAUGGUUAUCUCUGGGGUAUGUGUAUGCACCGAGGUAUCUGGAUGGCACAUGUGUGUUCCUCCGUGCACAUACUGCCAGGGCAGUGUAUGCAUUCGUACCCUUAUCUGUGUGCAUGGCCUCUUUCUGUGUGUUUAUGUUUACUCAUUUACGUAAACUACCCUCUUGGUGUAAUAAAAUCCACCAUUAUGUGUUGAAUUGUGUUCCUCUCAAAUUCAUAUGCUGAAGUCUCCUAGUUCUUCAGAAUGUGACCAUAUUUGAAGAUAGGACCUUUAAAGAAGUGAUUAAGUUAAAAUUAGGCCGUAUGUUUGGGAUCUAAUCCAAUGUGACUGGUGUCCAUCUAAGAAGAAGAAAUUAGGACAGAGACAUAGAGGGAAGACCAUGUGAAGACACAGGGAUAAGAUGGCCGUCUACAAGCCAAGGAGAGAGGCUCCUGAAGAAACCAGCCCUGCCAAUACCAUCAUGUCAGAUAUAUGGCCUCCAGAACUGUGGGAAAAUAAAUUUCUGUUGUUUAAGCCACA